AUACUUACCUGGCAAGGGAGACACCGUGAUCAAGAAGGCGGUUCACCCAGGGCGAGGCUCAGCCAUUGCACUCUGGCUGUGCUGACCCCUGCGAAUUUCCCAAAUGUGGAAAUCUCGAUUGCAUAAUUUCUGGUAGUGGGGAACUGCGUUCGCGCUCUCCCCUG
This 164-nucleotide small nuclear RNA is filed under the name Salmo trutta (river trout). Its description in RNAcentral is "U1 spliceosomal RNA (ENSSTUG00000026489.1)". It matches the Rfam family "U1 spliceosomal RNA". Rfam says of the family: U1 is a small nuclear RNA (snRNA) component of the spliceosome (involved in pre-mRNA splicing). Its 5' end forms complementary base pairs with the 5' splice junction, thus defining the 5' donor site of an intron. The record is from Rfam by way of RNAcentral. Lineage: Eukaryota; Metazoa; Chordata; Actinopteri; Salmoniformes; Salmonidae.